GAUGAACGCUGGCGGCGUGCCUAAUACAUGCAAGUCGAGCGAACAGACGAGGAUUUUGCUCCUCUGACGUUAGCGGCGCACGUGUGUGUAACACGUGGAUACCCUACCUAUAUGUCUGGGAUAACUUCGGGAACCCGGAUCUAAUCCGGUAUAAUAUAUUGAACCACAUGGUUCAAUAGUGAAAGUCGGUUUUGCUGUCACUUCUAGAUGGUUCCGCGCCGCAUUGGUUAGUUGGUAAGGUAACGGCUUACCAAGGCAACGAUGCGUAGCCGACCUGAGAGGCUGAUCGGCCACACUGGAACGGAGACACGGUCCAGACUCCUACGGGAGGGAGCAGUAGGGAAUCUUCGGCAAUGGGCGAAAGCCUGACGGAGCAACGCGGCGUCUGUGAUGAAGGUCUUGGGAUCGUAAAACUCUGUUAUUAGGGAAGAACAACUGUGUAAGUUACUGUGCAGGUCGUGACGGUACCUGAUCAGGAAGCCACGGCUAACUACGUG
Molecule: ribosomal RNA, 497 nt
Filed under: uncultured bacterium
Lineage: Bacteria
Description: partial 16S ribosomal RNA
Rfam family: Bacterial small subunit ribosomal RNA
Source: RNAcentral